UACGUAGGUGACGAGCGUUAUCCGGAUUUACUGGGCGUAAAGCGCUUGUAGGUGGUCUUGUAAGUUGGGCGUGAAAACACCGGGCUUAACUCGGUGACGCCGUCCAAUACUGCGAGGCUGGAGGAUGUCAGAGGAAGGUGGAAUUCCUGGUGUAGUGGUGAAAUGCGUAGAUAUCAGGAGGAACACCAGUGGCGAAGGCGGCCUUCUGGGGCAUACCUGACACUGAGAAGCGAAAGCUAGGGGAGCAAACAGG
RNAcentral lists this ribosomal RNA (253 nucleotides) under uncultured bacterium. RNAcentral's name for it is "partial 16S ribosomal RNA". It matches the Rfam family "Bacterial small subunit ribosomal RNA", at positions 524 to 776 of the family's 1533-position model. The record is from RNAcentral.